RNAcentral lists this long non-coding RNA (200 nucleotides) under Manihot esculenta (cassava). RNAcentral's name for it is "long non-coding RNA (MESC_LNC003152)". Lineage: Eukaryota; Viridiplantae; Streptophyta; Magnoliopsida; Malpighiales; Euphorbiaceae. The record is from RNAcentral.
AUAGGAUGAUUGCAUUAGUUUUCACGAAUAUGCCGCAUUGCAUCGAUUGUUGUUGAUGUGGGUGAAUAUUGGAUGACCUAAUUAGUCCAUGACAGGAAGACCAGGACCCCAUUCUACGGCCUGGCACAGAGUAAGGAAAGACCAGGACCCCAUUCUACGGCCUGGCACGGUUAUGGGACUCGAAGACCAGGAGCCCAGAG